Long non-coding RNA from Mangifera indica (mango), 739 nucleotides. RefSeq lists it as uncharacterized. NCBI's taxonomy places the organism in Eukaryota, Viridiplantae, Streptophyta, Magnoliopsida, Sapindales, Anacardiaceae. The transcript is spliced from 3 exons. The record is from RefSeq and is a predicted model, not a curated record.
UUUAAUUGAAAUUUUCCAAUCAAAAUCCCUAAUUUCUAGAACUCAUCAAAUGUUUUCCUCUAUAGCAUCACAAAUGUCUCCUCUCCGGCGCUCGAAACCUCGAUAAACUCUCUAGAUCUUGUCUUCAAAUCAUUAGUGCAUUGAACUAUUUGUCCUCAUUAGAGCAUUGAUGAUGGUCGACAGGAACUCGUUUUCUCUCCGGUGUCUCUCUUAUCCUGUGUUCGUCUUUGAUGCUAUCAUUUAAACAAAGGCGAGAAGUGUAGUUGAUGAAGUCGUCUUAUAUGUCAUCUCCGAAGGAGGUGGUGAUGAAGCGAACUCUGCCACCAUCAAAGUCGCGACUAGAGGGAAAACGGUGAUGACGAUGUCACUAUCAAAAUCCUUUACUGUGGAUUUUGUCAUUCUGACUUGCAUUCUUGCAAAAAUGAAUGGGGGGUCUCUAAUUACCCUCUCGUUCUUGGGUAUGAAACUAUUUUUUCUUGAAACUAUAAUGUUUAACAUAUAUCAUACUAUUCUUAGGACUGAAUUAGAUGUACCUACACAGAAAUUUUACUGAGUCAGAAUCUUUACCGCAUAACGUCCCUGGCUGUGCUGCAACAUAUUGUUUUAUCAUGUGCUGUUGAAUGAUUUUGUAUUAAUAUGCCAAGUCUGGUCCUAGAUUGGUGUAAGUCAAUCCUUUACUGUUGAAUGAUUUCUCUGAUUACGGUAUAAAGUAUAUUCGGUUAUUGCACAGUUGAAUUUC